This 1415-nucleotide unclassified non-coding RNA is filed under the name Hevea brasiliensis (rubber tree). Lineage: Eukaryota; Viridiplantae; Streptophyta; Magnoliopsida; Malpighiales; Euphorbiaceae. The record is from RNAcentral.
GCUCUCUUCCUUUCUUCAGUGUCACACGUCCCUUUCCCACUUAAAUAAAAAAAAUAAAGAGAUGCCCCCAUCACUCACUUUUCGUGAAUGAAGGGCAACCAUGAACACUAACCACUUACUUACUCAAAGUAUUCAACUUCAACAAGUAGAUAUAUGAUCAAAAAAUGAGUUAAUAUAAUAUAAAAAUUAAACAACAAUUAAGAAUUCAACGAAUUGGUAAUUAUUGUGAAUUAGAAUAUAUAAUUCUAAUAGAUAAUAGCAAUUCACAUUGAUAUCCUAUAUGAAAAUAUAUCUUUUUCCCCUCAGUAAUGGCAAUCCACCAAGGCUGGGGAGGAGAACACUAGAGCUUGUUUUGUGGAUGCAAAUUGGAACUUGGAUUCACGGUGGUGAUGGUCUUCCUCCGGCGCCGGAAGGUUAAGAUCUAAAGACAAAAUGUUUCUUGGCUUGAUCUGAUCAUCACUAUUAAUAUGAUUCGAAUCAGUGGUGGUGAUAGCCACUUGAUUAUUACUGCCUGUGUUAGCUCUGUGUCUCCUCAUGUGACCUCCAAGGGCUUGACCAGAAGUGAACUCAGAGCCACAAAUUGAACACUCAUGAAUCUUGGCCUUAUUAUUACCAAGAAAAUUAAAACCCUUGUUAGAUAUCUGAAGAGAACGAGGAGGUUGAGGUUGAAGAUGAUGAAGAUGAUCAGAACUAGAAGUAGUACUGCUACUUUUAUUCAAUUGGCAAUCUUCAAGAUCGUCCAACAAUGGUAAAGCCAGAAGACCCUUCUUCUCUUCGACUAUGGACUUAGGCUUUUUGUGACUUGCUCUGUGACCACCUAAUGCUUGGAAGGAAGGGAAGGUACGGUUACACGUUUUGCACUCAUAAACAUAGAAAUCAGCCUUGUUUGUUGUAGCAGAAGCAUCAGAUAAUUUUCUUGCACUCACCUGCUCCUUCCUUCUGGGACCGUCACCUUGAGCUAAUAAAAUCAGGCAAUUAGCCAUAUCUUCUUCUUCUUCCGUGCUCUCAUAAAUCUCACUACAACUUGCAGGAGAGGAAAUUGAACCAUGUUCCUCUACAACAAAUCCUGUUUCUCCUCCCCCGCCUGAACCACCAAAACCACUGGAUGAGCUAGAGGUGAUGGCGGAUGAUGACCUCAGCCGCUUUGUACGCUUGCCUUUAACGAUCUGAGAAAGAUCAUUAGAGCCCAUGAAUUCUUCUUGAGCUUCCAUGUCCAAAUGAUCCACAGAGGAAAAGAGAGCAAGAAGUGAGGAGAAAGAAAAUGAGAGAAAUGGGAUAUGUACAAGUGACCUAACAAAUGAGGGGGUGAUAAUUAGGCAGAGAGAACUUAUAAAAAGAAGAUAAUAAGAGAGAGUAAUGAGAGAAGCAAAGGUGGGGAUAGUGGAGUUUGUUAUAUAUAGUGAAUGGCAACCAUU